Cercocebus atys (sooty mangabey) is the source of this 178-nucleotide unclassified non-coding RNA. The record is from Ensembl. Lineage: Eukaryota; Metazoa; Chordata; Mammalia; Primates; Cercopithecidae.
UGGUCUGCCUCAGGGCUGAAGUCCUCUUUUUAUGCACCGAGUGGGAACAGCACAGGGAAUGAGGAAGCUGGUUGUCUUUAAACCACUCCCACAAAGUGGCUGAAGCCAAGAAAAGGGCCCAUACCUUUUGGGGAAGAGUGCUAUGCAGAUUCUUAUGCCCAUUUCACCUUUGGUUUCA